UUCACCUGAGUGUAUUCAUCCAAGGGGUGG
This 30-nucleotide non-coding RNA is filed under the name Mus musculus (house mouse). The record is from RNAcentral. Lineage: Eukaryota; Metazoa; Chordata; Mammalia; Rodentia; Muridae.